This is a long non-coding RNA of Parus major (Great Tit), 1071 nucleotides long. NCBI's taxonomy places the organism in Eukaryota, Metazoa, Chordata, Aves, Passeriformes, Paridae. The record is from Ensembl.
AGGUGGAUUUGGAAAGCGGGGACGAAUUUUUUAAUUGGACUAAACCCAACGCCCUGAGUUCAAGGGGAGAGAAAACAACAACCGAAGGGGGCACUGGUGGGAUGUGGACUUUCGGAAAACUUUCCGAGUCCCCCGGGCCGAGGUGUUUCCAAGGGCAGGAAGUCGCCCCGGAUGGCAUGGCGGGGGCGGGGGGGGGGCAGCAGGAACCCCUCAUUUCGAGGCAUGAGAGCUUUAAAACUCCCCAAAGGAGAGUGCCGAGUGCUCUUACUAGUAGAAGGUGCCCUGGAGAGGUUUGUCAGCAGGAGCCUAGGCUCAGGGUCACUCCAUGAAUAUUUUUAUUCUUUCUUUCUCUUGAGAUACUACGGCCUGUAAUUUAAGUGCCUCAAGACUGCUGUAUACAAUCUAAGACGCUCAUAUCUUUCUGUACAUUGACAAAUGGAACAUGCAGUACAAAAUUAAUGGAGGAGGAAGGUCUUGGCCCUCACCCUGGAUGGGCAGCAGCCCCCAGUGGCACAGCAAGCCGCUUCCCCUCUGCCUGUGGUGUGCGCAGUGUUUGUAAACACUCACCUCCUGACGUGUUUCCACAUGGGAAACCAGGAGAAGACCUGCACGCCGACCAUGGUGGAGCUUGGUCGACUUGGGCUAAACGAGAGCAAGAAAGGGCCCCUGGGGUGAAGCGUGCCUUCCAUCAAAUCUUUGCUCCUCGGGUAAAGCAGGCGGUGCCCAGGUGGGCAUUUGUCCUUCCCUGGCAUGCAAACAGCAGCGGUGCGUGCCUUAUGAAUAAACCGGCUAUUAGGCUGAUGCUUCAAGUAACAUUAUCCAGCACCAAGCUUGGUUAUUCGGCUUAUAGCUGAAGCAGGUGGAGAUCCCUUACGAUAAGGUUGUGAAGCUGAUUCUAGUAUGACACCACCGGGUUUGUUUAUGUUUGUAAACGGAGCUCCUCCAUUUUUAAAGGUAGAGAAGGGGCUUGUGCAUUAAAUUUUAUUUUUUUUUCUGAUCUAUUUGUCUUAUUAUGCAUGCUUUUUAAUGGUAUUAAAUAAAGGAAAUUACCUAUUUCUGGUGGAAGUUAUA